This 379-nucleotide long non-coding RNA is filed under the name Ananas comosus (pineapple). RNAcentral's name for it is "long non-coding RNA (ACOM_LNC008700)". Lineage: Eukaryota; Viridiplantae; Streptophyta; Magnoliopsida; Poales; Bromeliaceae. The record is from RNAcentral.
AGAGGACGAAAGGUUGUAAGUGUUUUAAAAUUCUUUGAAUCUUUCAUAAUAUAAAAAUAAGGGUUAAUUUCAUACAGUUUUCUAUAAAUAUAGUGAAUUAUAAAUAUAUCCUUACAAAGUCCCAACUGUUAAUUGAUGAGGAGUAAAAAGGUCAAUUCACCUCAUUAACUAACCAGGAUUAAGUAUUUAAUCUAUGGUUAACUAAAAUUUUUUAAUGGAUUCUAACGAUAGGAAUAUAUUUGAAAAUAUGAGGACUAUUGUAGGUACAACAUAUGAAAGUUAAGCUUUGUAAGGAUAUAUUUACAAUUCACUAUAUUUGCAGAAACCUGCAUAUAAUUAAUCCUAAAAAUAAUAUUUUAGUUAUCACAUUUUCAAACUA